AUUGAACGCUGGCGGCAUGCCUUACACAUGCAAGUCGAACGGCAGCACGGGUGCUUGCACCUGGUGGCGAGUGGCGAACGGGUGAGUAAUACAUCGGCACAUGUCCUGUAGUUGGGGAUAGCCCUGCGAAAGCCGGAUUAAUACCGCAUACGAUUCACGGCUGAAAGCGGGGGACCUUCGGCCUUCGCGCUUUAGGGUUGGCCGAUGGCUGAUUAGCUAGUUGGUGGGGUAAAGGCCUACCAAGGCGACGAUCAGUAGCUGGUCUGAGAGGACGACCAGCCACACUGGAACUGAGACACGGCCCAGACUCCUACGGGAGGCAGCAGUGGGGAAUUUUGGACAAUGGGCGAAAGCCUGAUCCAGCAAUGCCGCGUGUGUGAAGAAGGCCUUCGGGUUGUAAAGCACUUUUGUCCGGAAAGAAAUCCUUCACUCUAAUACAGUCGGGGGAUGACGGUACCGGAAGAAUAAGCACCGGCUAACUACGUG
RNAcentral lists this ribosomal RNA (486 nucleotides) under uncultured bacterium. RNAcentral's name for it is "partial 16S ribosomal RNA". It matches the Rfam family "Bacterial small subunit ribosomal RNA", at positions 30 to 507 of the family's 1533-position model. The record is from RNAcentral.